This 373-nucleotide ribosomal RNA is filed under the name uncultured organism. RNAcentral describes it as "bacterial SSU rRNA". It matches the Rfam family "Bacterial small subunit ribosomal RNA", at positions 526 to 896 of the family's 1533-position model. The record is from RNAcentral.
CAGAGGGGGCAAGCGUUAUUCGGAAUUAUUGGGCGUAAAGGGCGCGUAGGCGGCUUUGCAAGUGGCGGGUGAAAUCCCUCGGCUUAACCGAGGAACUGCCCGCCAGACUGCAUGGCUUGAGACCCGGGAGAGGUGAGUGGAAUUCCCAGUGUAGCGGUGAAAUGCGUAGAUAUUGGGAGGAACACCAGCGGCGAAGGCGGCUCACUGGACCGGUACUGACGCUGAGGCGCGAAAGCGUGGGGAGCAAACAGGAUUAGAUACCCUGGUAGUCCACGCCGUAAACGAUGAGUGCUUGGUGUAGCGGGUAUCGACCCCUGCUGUGCCGACGUCAACACAUUAAGCACUCCGCCUGGGGAGUACGGUCGCAAGACUG